CUGGAAAUCUGCAGAUUUGAGAAAUUUGUAACUGUCCUGAUUUUGUGAAUUUUUUUUUGAGGCAGUUCCUAAGCUCGAAAAAUUAUGAGAUUUUUACUGAGAGUUCCUCUAUGAGUCUUCUAUCUAUGGUAAAAAUUUCGGGAUCAGAAUCAAAGUAUUGAAUUCUGUAAAAAUCCGUGACCUUGCAGCACUCAUUUUCGGAACUGUGCUGACUGCACAGACACAUGUUACGGAAACGGUCAUAUUUUUUAGCUCGAGCGAUGAAAUUGUGAUCCGAUUUCUGAUUUUGAAACUAGAUUCAUAGACCUUAAAAAGUAUGUGGAGUUUGUACCUUAGUUAUUUCUGUGCGAAGUCAGAUUUUAAGUUGAAGUUGAUGAAAUUGCAGAUUCUGAAAUUUUUCUUGAGAUUUGGUUGUUUAACUUCAUAUGUCUACCUUAGGACCUUAUAUUCAUAAAAAUAGGCUUAUUUAGCAUCUUCUAAUCAUGUUCUUAUUGCCUAAUUGUUUUAGGAAGCUCGGGUGGUUCGUAGAGCCGAGGUGAGUGAUUUAAUACCUAAACACAUGGUUUUGAAGCUGUUUUCCUUAUCGAGCUUAUUUGAACAUGUUUUAUAAAUUAUGUACUCCAUGGAUAACAAUGAAAGGUGGACCUAUUUGUGAAGUAUUUGCGAAUCUAUUUAAUGGCAUUCCCGACGUCCGGUCUUGCUAGGGGACGGCUUAAUGGCUAGCAAGGGUGUUUGAGGUUGGUGUGUGUUUUGGGAUAAUGCAUAGACUGGCGUGGUGUUUACUUUUGGAAUGUGUUGUAUUUUUGGAAACUUAUAGAAAGGAAGUUAUGCUUGUAGGCACUUAGCUUUGUACAUGGUUUGUUAGCUUUUGAGUUUGUAAGUAAGCACAACUCUGAGUGGUAUACCUUUUGGUUUGUAAAACCUAAGUAAUACUUUGGUUCGUUAUCGAGAAAAGUCGUCUUUUGCUUC
Long non-coding RNA from Rhododendron vialii, 969 nucleotides. RefSeq lists it as uncharacterized. NCBI's taxonomy places the organism in Eukaryota, Viridiplantae, Streptophyta, Magnoliopsida, Ericales, Ericaceae. The record is from RefSeq and is a predicted model, not a curated record. The transcript is spliced from 2 exons.